UUUUCGCAAUGCCCGAAAGGGUGACGAUGCGACGCCGCGUGGGUGAAGAAGGCUUUCGGGUCGUAAAUCCCUGUCAAGAGUUAUGAAAGCAGCUCUGCUGUUUGACAAAGGCUCUAAAGGAAGUCACGGCUAACUCUGUGCCAGCAGCCGCGGUAAUACAGAGGUGGCAAGCGUUGUUCGGAAUUAUUGGGCGUAAAGAGCACGUAGGUGGCCAAAUAAGUCAGGUGUAAAAGACCCUCGCUUAACGAGGGGCCUGCAUUUGAAACUGUUAGGCUAGAGUGUAGAAGGGGAGAAUGGAAUUUCUGAUGGAGCGGUGAAAUGCGUAGAUAUCAGAAGGAACGCCGGUGGCGAAAGCGAUUCUCUAGUAUACAACUGACACUGAGUGUGCGAAAGCUAGGGGAGCAAACAGGAUUAGAUACCCUGGUAGUCCUAGCCGUAAACGAUGGGCACUAAGUAGAGGGGUUUUAA
Molecule: ribosomal RNA, 468 nt
Filed under: uncultured anaerobic ammonium-oxidizing bacterium
Lineage: Bacteria
Description: bacterial SSU rRNA
Rfam family: Bacterial small subunit ribosomal RNA
Source: RNAcentral